RNAcentral lists this ribosomal RNA (443 nucleotides) under uncultured bacterium. RNAcentral describes it as "partial 16S ribosomal RNA". It matches the Rfam family "Bacterial small subunit ribosomal RNA", at positions 338 to 795 of the family's 1533-position model. The record is from RNAcentral.
CCUACGGGAGGCAGCAGUGGGGAAUAUUGGGCAAUGGGCGCAAGCCUGACCCAGCAACGCCGCGUGAAGGAAGAAGGCUUUCGGGUUGUAAACUUCUUUUGUCAGGGACGAAGCAAGUGACGGUACCUGACGAAUAAGCCACGGCUAACUACGUGCCAGCAGCCGCGGUAAUACGUAGGUGGCAAGCGUUAUCCGGAUUUAUUGGGUGUAAAGGGCGUGUAGGCGGGAAUGCAAGUCAGAUGUGAAAACUAUGGGCUCAACCCAUAGCCUGCAUUUGAAACUGUAUUUCUAGAGUGCUGGGGAGGUAAGCGGAAUUCCUAGUGUAGCGGUGAAAUGCGUAGAUAUUAGGAGGAACACCAGUGGCGAAGGCGGCUUACUGGACAGUAACUGACGUUGAGGCUCGAAAGCGUGGGGAGCAAACAGGAUUAGAUACCCGGGUAGUC